This 500-nucleotide ribosomal RNA is filed under the name uncultured bacterium. RNAcentral's name for it is "partial 16S ribosomal RNA". It matches the Rfam family "Bacterial small subunit ribosomal RNA", at positions 30 to 523 of the family's 1533-position model. The record is from RNAcentral.
AUUGAACGCUGGCGGCAUGCCUUACACAUGCAAGUCGAACGGCAGCACGGGAGCAAUCCUGGUGGCGAGUGGCGAACGGGUGAGUAAAGUAUCGGAACGUGCCCAGUCGUGGGGGAUAACGUAGCGAAAGUUACGCUAAUACCGCAUACGAUCUAUGGAUGAAAGCGGGGGAUCGCAAGACCUCGCGCGAUUGGAGCGGCCGAUAUCAGAUUAGGUAGUUGGUGGGGUAAAGGCUCACCAAGCCGACGAUCUGUAGCUGGUCUGAGAGGACGACCAGCCUAACUGGGAAUGAGCAACGGGCAAGACUCCUACGGGAGGCAGCGGUGGGGAAUUUUGGACAAUGGGCGAAAGCCUGAUCCAGCCAUGCCGCGUGCAGGAUGAAGGCCUUCGGGUUGUAAACUGCUUUUGUACGGAACGAAAAGGUUUGGCCUAAUAAGCUGAGCUCAUGACGGUACCGUAAGAAUAAGCACCGGCUAACUACGUGCCAGCAGCCGCCGUAA